This 497-nucleotide ribosomal RNA is filed under the name uncultured bacterium. Its description in RNAcentral is "bacterial SSU rRNA". It matches the Rfam family "Bacterial small subunit ribosomal RNA", at positions 36 to 524 of the family's 1533-position model. The record is from RNAcentral.
AAAUUACUGGCGGCUGCUUUACCAUGCAAGUCGACCGGCAGCGCGGGCUUCGGCCUGGCGGCGAGUGGCGAACGGGUGAGUAAUACAUCGGAACGUGCCCAGUAGUGGGGGAUAGCUCGGUGAAAGCCGGAUUAAUACCGCAUACGACCUGAGGGUGAAAGCGGGGGACUUUAGGGCCUCGCGCUAUUGGAGCGGCCGAUGGCAGAUUAGCUGGUUGGUGGGGUAAAGGCCUACCAAGGCGACGAUCUGUAGCUGGUCUGAGAGGACGACCAGCCACACUGGGACUGAGACACGGCCCAGACUCCUACGGGAGGCAGCAGUGGGGAAUUCUGGACAAUGGGCGAAAGCCUGAUCCAGCAAUGCCGCGUGUGUGAUGAAGGCCUUCGGGUUGUAAAGCACUUUUGUCAGGAACGAAAAGGGCUGUGCUAAUACCACGGUCUGAUGACGGUACCUGAAGAAUAAGCACCGGCUAACUACGUGCCAGCAGCCGCGGUAAU